UACGUAGGGUGCAAGCGUUAAUCGGAAUUACUGGGCGUAAAGCGUGCGCAGGCGGCUUUGCAAGACAGAUGUGAAAUCCCCGGGCUUAACCUGGGAACUGCAUUCGAUACUGCUGCGCUAGAGUACUGGAGAGGAGAUUGGAAUUUACGGUGUAGCAGUGAAAUGCGUAGAUAUCGUAAGGAAGACCAGUGGCGAAGGCGGAUCUCUGGACAGUUACUGACACUGAGGCACGAAGGCCAGGGGAGCAAACGGG
RNAcentral lists this ribosomal RNA (253 nucleotides) under uncultured bacterium. RNAcentral describes it as "partial 16S ribosomal RNA". It matches the Rfam family "Bacterial small subunit ribosomal RNA", at positions 524 to 776 of the family's 1533-position model. The record is from RNAcentral.